This is a long non-coding RNA of Macaca mulatta (Rhesus monkey), 760 nucleotides long. RefSeq lists it as uncharacterized. NCBI's taxonomy places the organism in Eukaryota, Metazoa, Chordata, Mammalia, Primates, Cercopithecidae. The record is from RefSeq and is a predicted model, not a curated record.
GGCCUGCCCCGCGCCUGGCGUGCGACUCUGCACCAGCGCCAGCGUUGUACCUUUGUGAGGGCGGAGCUGCAUUCUCCUCAGCCCAGACAUUGAGAGCAUCACGAGGGCGGAGCUGUGUUCUCCUCUGCACAGACCUCGGGGGUACCGUGAAGACAGAGCAGCGUUCUACUCUGCCCAGACUCUGGCGUGGGGAGCCCCGCGAGGGCGGAGCUGCGUUGUGCUCAGCACGGACGUUGGCGGCACCGCCUCGCUUUGGGACAACUCGGGGCCGCAUCCACAGUGAAUAAAAUCCUUCCUGUUUCUAGCCCUGAAUAACGAAGGUUUCUCUGGAACUCCUGACAUCAAGUAAUCCACCUGCCUCUGCCUUCCAAAGUGCUGGGAUUACUGGCAUGAGCCACUGUACCCAGCCUUCACUUUCUUCUCUGUGUCAGAGAUCUCUAGCAAGAUACCUUUUCAGAACUUUUAUUGCAACGGAAGUAUUUCAGAACUUUGUCAGGUUAAACUGUUAAGGAUUUCAGAAGAGAGCCUGGUGUCACUUACAGCAGACAUUGCAGAUGCCUCAGCAUUUCGGAUGAAGACGGUGCAGGUGGAGCUGUGCCGUCCUGCACUGAAGCCCUGCAGUCCUGACUUCUGAGUGGAGCUAGAGGAGAAUUAUAUUAAUGUGUUUGCACUACUUGCUCAAUUGUAAAGCAUAACAAAUAUAUUUAAGGCAUGUUUUUUUAAAUGAGAAUAAAAUAGUUUAACAAUGUUUAUACACCUA